ACGCUCAACAUAAUACGUGAACUAAAUAUUUAGAGAAUAUUCAGAUGAUAUAUUAAAGAAACCAAAUCUCAUGAGAUACUAAAUCUGGGCCACGCUCAAAUGUUGAAACAACAUGUUAGGACAUAUUGUUCAACAUCUAUCAAUAAUACUUAUUUUUCCAAAAUGCAAUCAACCACUACAUUUCAGGAGAAAAUCCACACAUUUUCCUCUGAACUUCUUGCUU
Molecule: long non-coding RNA, 223 nt
Filed under: Lathyrus oleraceus (garden pea)
Lineage: Eukaryota; Viridiplantae; Streptophyta; Magnoliopsida; Fabales; Fabaceae
Description: Pisum sativum (pea) long non-coding RNA (PSAT_LNC042355)
Source: RNAcentral